This 6571-nucleotide long non-coding RNA is filed under the name Capsicum annuum. RNAcentral describes it as "long non-coding RNA (CANN_LNC005830)". The record is from RNAcentral. Lineage: Eukaryota; Viridiplantae; Streptophyta; Magnoliopsida; Solanales; Solanaceae.
UCUCUUGCUUACAUCCCUAUAAAAUCCUCUCUACACCAAUUUUCAUAUUUCAUCUAAAGAGUGCAAAAAAAAAAAAUUCUUUACUAUCAUUAACCAUGCACAAGAAAAAUUCUCUAGUUAUCUUUCUUAUUUGCAUUUUCCUACUUGUUAACUUAUAUUUAGCAAGUGAGAAUUCCGAGAGUGAGAAUCCUGAUUCGUUCGAUGAAAUUGACACUGAAUCUAAUAUGGAACUAGAUUGGUGGUUUCCAUGGUAUCGUCAUCGGUGGUUCCAUCCACGUCCAUGGCCAUUUGUUCAUCCACCAAUGCCUUCUGGUGGCUUCCGUCACAAGUUUCCUUAUCAUCCAUGGCCGAAAUUCAAGCAUCCACCAAUGUCGUCAUUAGUUCCGUUUCCACCUAUUGGAGAGAGGACUUAAUUAAAUAUAUUUACUAACGAAAUGAUUGGUCAAUAUUUUAUUGAUCACAUAUUUGCAAUCUAAUCUUUAGGUUAAUUAAUAUCUUUAAGAUUGAUAGUUCUAGAUUAGUUGAUUUCGUUUCUAUUAAUUUUUGAGGUAUUUUCGAUCGUUGGAAUAUUAUUUGAUAUUUCACUUAUCGUGAUAUAAAGUUUAAUGUUUUUUAUGAAUUGUUUUCCUUAAUCUAUUAUUGUGUAUUAAUAUGUUCAUCUUUGUGCAUAAAGAAGUUUAAAACGCUCAUAAUAUUAUGUUUGAGUAACAUGCCAAAAACAAUUUAUGUGACAUUGUGUUCUUAUUAAUUUAUUUAAAAGAAUAACAUUUUUUUAUUAUAAAAAUAGUUUAACUUUUAAAAAGUGAUCACUCAAAAAUGUGUAAAAACUAAGUUUUUGAUGUUGUAAAUUUUCUUUGCUAGAAACGAUUGUGUGUAUGUUUGUGCAAAUGAAAUAUAUAGGAGCAAACUAAAAACUUUUAACAUCAAAAUUUCAUAAAGGAAACAAACAUGAAUUAGCUAUGAAAUUCGUGUCAAACGUGUAUAUAGAUUCAAAUGUCUUAAUUUUAGUGAAAACAAACGAGACCUUACUUAUCUAAAAAAAAUCAAGGAUGUAAUUCACAUAUUUUGAGACUUUAAGGACCAAACCAAACAUUUUGAGAGGAUUUAAGGACCAAACCAAACAUUUUGAGAGGAAAUAUUUUUCAUGGCAUCAAAUAUCCCCCUAAGACUUUUUGAAAAUGGUCAAAUAUUAAAUAAAGUGUAUCCUCCAAAGAAUACCCCAAAAAGAUCAUUGAUAUUAUUUUUUUGUUAGUCUGUUUGUAAUAGGAAUGAUCUUUUUAAUUUAAAAUUAAUUAAAUUGUGAAUUUACCCCCGAAAAAUCUGUCUAAUACACAUUUUAUAUAUAUCCUUGUCGUCUAAUAAACAUUAAGUUGUAUGUAUAUUCUUUUCGUCUCGUAAAAGAAUGUAUAUUAACCUUUCAGUAAAGGGCAGAAUUAAAUAGAUAGGCAUGCUAUUAAGAUAUUAAGAUAUACAAUCCAACGAUUGAUCGAAUGGAUAAGUCAACAUGAAUUUACUGUGCGAGGAGUGUGUUAUGACUGGUGGCAGUCUUCCUAGUAAGGGGUGGCUCCUCCAUUGUGGGUAAAUAAAAAAUCUGACUCUACAAAUUUGAGGAAACGUUGCAUAAUACUAGGGGUGUCAUGACAGAAGCUUUUUAUAACUCGAGGAAACGUUGCAUCAUACUAGAAGUGUCAUGACAGAAGUUUUUUAACUCGAGGAAACAUUGCACAACACUAAUAGGGGUGUCAUGACAGAAGCUUUUUAUAAUCGAGGAAACGUUGCACAAUACUAGUAGGGUGUCAUGACAGAAGCUUUUUAUAACUCGAUGAAAUGUUGCACAACACUAGUAGGGGUGUCAUGACAGAAGCUUUUAAUAAUACUGACAGAAAUGCAAGUGAAUGAGUCUCAUCCCCUAACGAAUAAUUCUAAAAAUUACCUCACUGAUUUUCUUUAUCCGUCUAGACUCAAUCCAAAUGAAAAAGAUUUUUUGGUAGAAAAAUCAACAUGUAUUCUAACUAUAAUUAACUUAAUUAACAUAUUUAACUACUCGUAAACGUUAUGUGCCGUGACUAAGUUAAAAAUUUUGUCAAGAAUAUUCAAGAUUUAAUAUAUACGUACGAAAAUUUUUGAAGUAUAUUUCGUAUAAUUUUCUAUGUAUAUAAUUAUAAUUUUUUGAUAAAGAAUGUUUCACUAUACAUCCUUCGCUGCAUGUGACUAUAGGCCCACUCGUUAUGAGCUUAUACUCAAAAUAUUCUUUCAAUUUCACAUUCCAAAAUAAUUACGUACUUGAUUAAACUUUUAACUAGAUCUCGUUUACCCUCAUAAACAAUUGAUAAUCUCUACUGAUCAUUUCACUUAUCUUCUUGAUAAUUACACUUAAUUUUAAGUAUCCAAUUUGUAUACAAACUUCACUUAGGAUAAACAUUAAUGAAGAAAAUCAAAUAGUUGAUAAACUUAAAAAUUCUCCUAAGCCAAAUGAAUCUCUUGCUUGACAACCCUAUAAAAUCUCACUACAUCAACCUUCAUAUUUCAUCUCAAGAAUUCCAACAAAAAAUAAAAAACUUACUAUUAGCUAUGGCCAAGAAAAAUUCCCUUGUUACCUUUCUCAUAUGCAUUUUCCUACUUGUUAACUUAUGUUUAGCAAGUGGUGAAAACCCUGAUUCAUUCUCAAACGAUGAAAUUGAUGCCGAAGAAUCUAAUAUGGAACUAGAUUGGUGGUUUCCAUGGUAUUAUCGUCGAUGGUUCCAUCCACGACCAUGGGCAUUUGCUCAUCCACCCAUGUCCGCUGGUGGUUUCUGCCACAAGUUUCCUUCUCAUCCAUGGUUCAAGCAUCCACCACGUGCGUCUCCAUCUUCAAAGUCUGAAAUUGGCACUACUGAAGGUGAAAUUGCCACAACAGAAGCCGCUACUGAUAAGGAACUAGAUUGGUGGUAUCGACGAUCAUGGUUUCACCAUCCAUGGUUACGUGCACGUUCAUGGCCAUUUGUUCAUCCUCCAAUGCCUGCUGGCGGUUUUCGUCAUAAGUUUCCAUAUCAUUCCUGGUGGUCGUUCAUGCAUCCACCACGUCCGUCUCCAUCUAAAGGAGAGAAGAAAAAUUAAGAAUAUCUAUGGAUCAACAUCUUAUUGAUCAUAUAUUUGUGAUCUAUAGCUUAAUUAAUAUCUUUAAGAUUCUUAGUUCUAGACUAGUUAAUUUAGUUUUUAUUAAUUUGUCAAGUAGUUUUUGUUUUUAGGAAUAUUGUUUGAUUAUGCAUUAUCGUGAAAUAAAAUUUGAGUUAUUUAUAUGAAGUUUUUCACUUUCUAAUUAUAUCGUAUUUGCAUGCUUGUUUUUCUUUUGUGUGUAAAGAAACUCUUCCAUUGAAAACGAUCUUUAAUAUUUAAAGAAUCAAGUUCAAGUACCAAGGAGUACGACUCAGAAAAAGACGAGAGGUCUCUGGUAGCUGAAAUGCGACGUUUAAAAUCUCUCGUGUUAACACAUUCCCUUUCGGGGGUAAACGUUCAUUCCCGCAUCACCGGAUUGCAAGGCCGAAGAAGCAGCUCCUUUCUUCCUUAAAUACAACUUGAUAUAUAACUAAUUAGUAUGAAUUUUUUCAAUCAAAAAAUCCUUUUCAUCGGAUAGUCUUUAGUUCUUGGUAACCAAACAAGACAUAUAGUAGUACUGAUAAUCUUCAUAUUCAUAUAUGAUUUUAUGUUCCCCAUAGCUUCAUUAUAACUAAAAUAACCUAGAAGGAAAAAUUUAAGGAAUAUUUUUAUUAUUUUACCCUUUAGCAAUAUUAAAAAGAAAAAGGAAAAAUAUAAGAUAAAUAAAAAAUUCUUGUUAAUAACAUAAGAAAAAAAAAAUGAAAUUUUGUAUAAAGACAGAGAAAAAAAAUCGUUCGGUGAUUUAUUUUCAUCUGCCUAGCUAAUUCUUGAUGAACGGAGGUAGGUGAAAUCAGAUAUAACGUAGUUUAAUUCAGCUGAAUUCAAUAUUUUUUAACCAGAAGUACUAAUAGAUAUAGAUAUGUAUGCAGAAAAUCAUGAAAGCUUUAAUAAAUAUUAUAUAUGUUUUGAAUCUGUAAUUGUAAGAAAGUGUUCAAUUGGGACAACAUAACGAUUGAAAUCAAGUUUAAAUUUUGAAUAUGACUUUGCUUAAGUGAAUGACAUUGUUGGAACAAAAAAAAGAUAAGUGACUUUAGUAGGACGAUUUCCUAAGUUGAGUGAUAAUAUGAGGAAUUGACUCGUUCAUGAAUAUAAAAUGUUAAACGGCAGAAAAAUUUACUCGUAUCUUACACAAUGUCAAUGAAUAUGUCGCUGGGGUGUGGGCGACUUACAAGUCGGUGUCACGUCGGCGACUUACAAGUCGUUGUCACCUCAGCGACUUUGCGAGUCACUGGGUCCCCCAUGACUUGUCCGAUUUUUUAAAAAAAAUAAAAAAAUUAGUUGUUUCCUUUGGUAAUUUUAUUAAAAAAAUAGUCGUUUUGGCUCCGAAUUCCUCACAAUGUUAUGUUUGAAUCUUUGAUAGGAAAAAGAGUUUUCCAACAUACCAAAACAAAUAUUUAAGGUGUAUAUAUAUAUUAUUGGAGAAAGGUUUUAUGUUGUAAAUUUCUUUGCUAAAAAAAUGUCAAUCAUGUGUUUGUGCCAAAUGAAAUAGAAGCAAACUAAAAUUUUUAGCAUUAAAAUUUCAUAAGGAAGCAAUUCAACAUGAAUUAGUCAUAGUAUUUGUCCUUAAUUUAUUGCUAAAUAGCUUUUAUUAAUAACUUUUUUUUUUGCUAAUGCACCACCAACAAAAAGACAAUAAAUGCCAUCCUCAUUAUAACUUUCUAGUAAAAAUUAAUCUUCUUGUAGAAAGUGAUCAACGCCCCCAAAAAUAAUAAUAAUGUUCUACUUGCUAGUAUAUAUUAUCAAAGUUGGCAAGUCAUACUAUAAAAUAAAAAAUUAAAAAAAAUACCGAAAUCAAGGAAGAAGCAAAUCGUUUCUUUAUACACCCGUCGUUCAUUUUUACUUAUAGUUAUAAUCCAAUAUUAAUUACAGUACAAAGUAUGGAGACAUUUAUCUUUAUAAUGUGUGGGACAACUAGUAUGCAUUUUUAUUAUUUUACCAAAUAAUUACUUUUUUAUUGUAAUUUAUGUAAAGAUAUUUAACUAAGCGUGAAUUUUAAGGAAAAAAUAAAGAUUUUUGAACUCUAAAAUGUACCAUAAGUUUUUUUGCGACUACAGAUCAUUCAUUUAGAGGAAAAAAUAAAAAAAAUUAAUUAAACAAUUACUUAUUAAAUAUAAAAAUAUCAAUGCACUCAAUCAACUUAAAUGUCAAUACACCUUAUCAACUUUUUAUUUCAAUGGGUGUUUUUAUACAUUAUAUAUCUAUUUUCGUAUAUUUUUUUUUACAUAAUUUUAUCUAUUUCGCGUUGAGUUUAAUGGGUGUCGGAGCACUCAAAAAUUUUGUUGAGGGUGUUCAAAAUUUAAUAUAUACAUAUGAAAAUUACUUUUGAUUUUUGAACUAUAUUUUGUGUAAUAUUCUAUGUAUAUAAUUAUAAUUUUUUGAUGAAGAGUGUUAGACUAUCCAUCCUUCCUUUUUUUAUGAAAAUAUUUUUGCAAUUUCACGUCCCAAAAAUAAUUACGUACUUGAUUAAAAUUUUAACUAGAUCUUGUUUAUCCUCAUAAAUAAUUGAAAAUCUCUAUUGAUCUUUCACUUAUCUUCUUGAUAAUUACACUUAAUUUUAUGAAUUUAAUUUGUAUAUAAACAUCACUUAUGAUAAGCAUGAAUGAAAGAAAAUCAAAUAGUUGAUAAACUUAAAAAUUCUCCUAAUCCAAAUGAAUCUCUUGCUUGACAACCCUAUAAAAUCCUCACUACAUCAACCUCAAAAGUUCCAAGAAGAAAAACUUACUGGCUAAGAAAAAUGGCCUUGUUACCUUUCUCAUUUGCAUUUUUCUACUUGUUAACUUAUGUUUACCAAGGAGUAAAAACCCUGAUUCAUUCUCAAAUGAUGAAAUUAAUACUGCAGAAACAAAUAUGGAACUAGAUUGGUGAUUUCGAUGGUAUCGUUAUCGAUGGUUCCAUCCAUGACCAUGGGCAUUUGCUCAUCCACCCAUGUCUUUUGGCAGUUUCCGUCACAAGUUUCCUUCUCAUCCAUGGUUCAAGCAUCCACCACGUGCGUCUCCAUCUUCAAAGUCUGAAAUUGCCACAACAGAAGCUGAAAUUACCACCAUAGAAGCCGCUAAUAAGGAACCAGAUUGGUGGUUUUCAUGGUAUUAUCAUCGAUGGUUCCAUCCUCGUCCAUGGGCAUUUGCUCAUCCACCCAUGUCUUUUGGCGGUUUCCGUCACAAGUUUCCUUAUCAUCCAUGGCCAAAAUUCAAGCAUCCACCACGUGCCUCCCCUUCUAAGGGAGAGAAGAAUAAUUAAGAAUAUCCAUGGAUCAAUCUCUUAUUGAUCACAUAUAUUUGUGAUCUUUAGAUUAAUUAAUAAUAUCUUUAAAUUAGAUUAGUUAUUUUAGUUUUGAUCUAUUAAUUUUUAAGCAGUUUUUGUUCGUAGGUUUAUUGCUUGAUUCCGCUUAUUCUAAAAUAAAUUUUGAAUUCUUUUAUGUGAAGUAUUUCCACUUUCU